AGUGAACGCUGGCGGUAGGCCUAACACAUGCAAGUCGAACGGCAGCACAGUAAGAGCUUGCUCUUACGGGUGGCGAGUGGCGGACGGGUAAGGAAUACAUCGGAAUCUACUUUUUCGUGGGGGAUAACGUAGGGAAACUUACGCUAAUACCGCAUACGGCCUACGGGUGAAAGCAGGGGAUCUUCGGACCUUGCGCGAUUGAAUGAGCCGAUGUCGGAUUAGCUAGUUGGCGGGGUAAAGGCCCACCAAGGCGACGAUCCGUAGCUGGUCUGAGAGGAUGAUCAGCCACACUGGAACUGAGACACGGUCCAGACUCCUACGGGAGGCAGCAGUGGGGAAUAUUGGACAAUGGGCGCAAGCCUGAUCCAGCCAUACCGCGUGGGUGAAGAAGGCCUUCGGGUUGUAAAGCCCUUUUGUUGGGAAAGAAAAGCAGCAGGUUAAUACCCCGCUGUUCUGACGGUACCCAAAGAAUAAGCACCGGCUAACUUCGUG
This 492-nucleotide ribosomal RNA is filed under the name uncultured bacterium. Its description in RNAcentral is "partial 16S ribosomal RNA". It matches the Rfam family "Bacterial small subunit ribosomal RNA", at positions 29 to 507 of the family's 1533-position model. The record is from RNAcentral.